This 385-nucleotide ribosomal RNA is filed under the name uncultured bacterium. Its description in RNAcentral is "bacterial SSU rRNA". It matches the Rfam family "Bacterial small subunit ribosomal RNA", at positions 29 to 396 of the family's 1533-position model. The record is from RNAcentral.
AGCGAACGUUAGCGGCAGGCCUAACACAUGCAAGUCGCACGAGAAUCCGGCUUCGGCCGGUAGUAAAGUGGCGGACGGGUGAGUAACACGUGGAUAAUCUGCCCUUCGGCGGGGGACGAACAGUCCGAAAGGACUGCUAAUACCGCAUACGUCGGCGAGGUCUUCGGAUCUUGCCGGGAAAGAUGGCCUCUUCAUGAAAGCUAUCACCGGAGGAUGAGUCCGCGUCCCAUCAGCUAGUUGGCGGGGUAAUGGCCCACCAAGGCUUAGACGGGUAGCUGGUCUGAGAGGAUGAUCAGCCACACUGGAACUGAGACACGGUCCAGACUCCUACGGGAGGCAGCAGUGGGGAAUAUUGGGCAAUGGGCGCAAGCCUGACCCAGCCAUG